Molecule: unclassified non-coding RNA, 643 nt
Filed under: Zea mays
Lineage: Eukaryota; Viridiplantae; Streptophyta; Magnoliopsida; Poales; Poaceae
Description: misc RNA Zm00001eb058310
Source: RNAcentral
CUCAAAACCCUUCCCCCUCUCCGGCACUGUCCCCAUAGUUGGACGAGUCCUCUCCGGCGUGAUGGCCCCCGCCGCCGAAGCCACUGGUCGCCGCGACGGAGACGGGGACGUGGCCGGCUUCGCCUUGCUCGUCUCGAAGGAGAAGGACCGGCCCUGGAACGCCACGGAGAGGCUCCUCGUGGUGGUGGUGGUGCCCGCUUUGGGUCCCCCAGUCUCCCCGACGGCAGCAUUGCCAGCCGGGGCUGGGCGCGGGCGGUCGACGGAGACCGAGCGCCUCGGCAGCGGCGACGCGAAGCGGCGGGAGGGCGUGGACGACGAUGUCGAGGUGGAGUUGGAGCUCGAAGUGGUGGUGGUGGUGGAGGUGGAGGUGGAGGUCGAGCUGGAGGUGGACCUGGAGAAGGGCGCGAGGUAGCGGGAGGAGACGACCUUAGCCUUGGGCUUGGGCCGCGCGUCGCCGGCGUUGGUGUUGGCGUUGGCGUUGGACUUUGCCGGGGAGAGCGCGGAGGAAGCUCGGCGGCGGUGCGGGGACGGCGACGGGUUCAGCCGGGGCGCGGCCGCUGCUGCCCCGGCGGCCACCAUGGAGUUCAGAUCUCGCGGAGUCUCCCGGUGGUUUUGGGGCUCUGGGGUUUGAGGGGUUUCGUUU